RNAcentral lists this long non-coding RNA (329 nucleotides) under Daucus carota (carrot). RNAcentral describes it as "long non-coding RNA (DCAR_LNC001220)". Lineage: Eukaryota; Viridiplantae; Streptophyta; Magnoliopsida; Apiales; Apiaceae. The record is from RNAcentral.
AUCUCUUGUGCUUUGUGAAGUCAUCAGCAUCAUCAUCAUCAUCCUUUUUCUUCCUUUUCAGAGUUUGAGUAGUAGACUUGCAUUUGACUUGAGCUACUCUCUCCCCCUUUUUGGCAUCAUCCUCAUCAGGAAUCAGAAUUGAUGUGAUCAGAGAAAGUGAUGUUUGGAUAGCUUCCAGCUGCUUUGACAUCUUUUCUUGAUUUGAUUCAAUCAAGGUCAUCCUCUGGUCCAGAGAUUCAUUUGCAGUGACCAGCUUCUGUACACUUUCUUUUAUAGGAUUGAUGGUCCUUUUCUUUUCCAGUUCAUUUGUCUCCUUGACCUUUGCCACC